Humulus lupulus (European hop) is the source of this 4199-nucleotide RNA transcript. It is a transcript of the gene named pentatricopeptide repeat-containing protein At5g47360, with no coding region annotated. The transcript has 3 exons. NCBI's taxonomy places the organism in Eukaryota, Viridiplantae, Streptophyta, Magnoliopsida, Rosales, Cannabaceae. The record is from RefSeq and is a predicted model, not a curated record.
GCGAGCUAUGCUCACCCUUAUUUCUCGGGCUCAAUUUUAGGAUUUCUUUACUUGAGAAUCGAUAUCUAGCUUAAAAAAGUGAAAUUGGAAGCUAUGAAACAUGUAACUCUUCAAUUAAAUGAAGCCAGAUAAUUGAGUACAAGCUUCUGAUCUAACCAAUUUUCUACAUGCCAUAUUUUCAAUGUCCGUUUGAGGUCGGCUCAUGCUUUGAUAACAGAAAAAUUCAAAACAUGGAUUCAACUUACUUGCAACACAAUUGAAUAAAUCUUCUCAACUCGGGCCUUCUACUCUAUUAUCCCACUGAGUUGAAGAUUGUCUUCCCCAUCUCAGAGCUGACAAAAUCUCCCAUUCUCAGGUUUUAACUAAUUUCUGUUCGAGAAUCCCAUAUUGUUUACCAAUUAAUGGCGCUUUUUUCGAUCUCUCGGUCCCUCUCAUCUUCAGCUCGCCCCCAAAACCCCAAAAUCUCAAUAGUUCAGUUCAGUGCAGCCGCAGGAGAUAUAUUCAAUCACUUGCAACAAAAUGGCGGCAACGUAGAGAAAACCCUAUCUACAUUUAAGGCCCAAUUGGAUUCCAAAUGUGUGAGCGGGGUCCUACACAGAUGCAAUCCUAGCCAUUCUCAAAUGGGUCUCAGGUUUUUUAUAUGGGCUGGUCUUCAAUCUGAUUAUAAGCAUACUCCUUAUAUGUAUAACAAAGCGUGUAAAUUGUUUAGCAUUAUUCAGAAUCCGAAACUUCUUUUUGAUGUUAUUGAGGCUUAUAGGACUGAGAGAUGUUCUGUUACUGUUAAGACUUUUAAGGUUGUCUUGAAUUUGUAUAAACAAGCCAAACUUGCAGAUGAGGCGUUGUUGGUAUUGAGGAAAAUGCCAGAAUUUGGUUUAAGAGCAGAUACUACUAUGUAUAAUUUGGUUAUAAGGUUGUUUUGUGUAAAAGGUGAUAUGAAUACAGCUGAAAAUUUGAUGAAAGAAAUGUGUUUGAUUGAUCUUUAUCCAGAUAUGAUCACUUAUGUCGAAAUGGCUAAAGGGUUUUGCAAUGUAGGUCGGUUGGAUGAUGCAUUUGGAUUGUUUAAGGUUAUGAAGGAACAUGGCUGUUUGCCCAAUAAGGUUUUGUACUCUGUUCUUCUUCAUGGGAUCUGUAAGUUUGGGAAUAUGGAGAAAGCCCUUGAGUUGCUAGAGGAAAUGGAGAAAGAAGGUGGGAGUUGCAGUCCUAAUGUAGUAACUUAUACAUCUGUUAUUCAGAGGUUUUGUGAAAAAGGUCAGACAUUGGAGGCAGUGGAGGUUCUUGAUCGUAUGGAAGCUUGUGGCUGUACUCCGAAUCGCGUAACAGCUAGUUGUUUGAUUGAGCGCUUUUGUUUGGAGGGUCGACUUAAUGAGGCUUAUAAAUUGAUUGAUGAUGUUGUUAACAGAGGUGGUGUUUCUUAUGAAGAAUGCUAUAGUUCUCUUGUGGUGUCUUUGAAACGAAAUAGACAGACAGAGGAGGCUGAGAAGCUGUUUAGGAAGAUGCUAGAUAGUGGGUUGAAACCAGAUGGUUUGGCUUGCAGCAUCAUGAUAAGGGAGCUUGCUUUGGUUGGUCGAGUUCUAGAUGGAUAUCAGUUGUGUGAUGAAAUUGAGAAGAUGGGAUACUCGACUUCCAUUGAUUCUGAUUUAUAUUCCCUCCUUUUGGUGGGGCUUUGUGAAAAAAAUCAUUUAGUGGAGGCUGUGAAACUGGCCAGGUUAAUGCUGAUGAAAAAAAUUAAACUGAAAUCUCCUUACAUUGACAAUAUAGUUGAAAUCUUGAAGAAGUCCGGAGAUGAGGAGCUAGUUAACCAUUUAACUGGAAUUUGAAUAGUUUUCACCUGAGAAAAAAGCACAAGGCUAUUAUUUUUCCCUUGGGGGCUCGUGUAUAUUAAGUUAGAAACGGGAAUCUGAAGUAAUUAUUGAUUCUUUAAGUUGAAUCUCUAAUUAAAAAGAAAAGGUAGUGGAGCUGAGUGUUUAGCAUUUGUUUAUUUAAUCAAACUUAAGGACAAGUUCUUGUGUUAUAUUGAAGAUGUUCGAAGCCAUGACAUUCUAUGAGUUCUUUUCUCAUCAUCAUAUUAUUGGAAGCUCUUCUUAAGAAAGCAGGAGAAAGAACAAAGAGACGAAGGAGCUGCUGACUUUCACAUCAGCAUAGAAGAAUUGCAAAUAUACAUGGCAAAACUUGGGGCUGACUAUUGAGAGAAAAUUCUGGUUGGGAUAGGCAGUUCUGAUUUUGUUGUAAUAUGAGUUUGUAGGAGGCCAGGCUCAUUGACCCUGGGAUUAUCAAUAUCAGCUUCCAUUUUUAUCAUCUCUGUGCUUCUUGUGUGUGCUUUCUUAUUUGUAUGCCUACUAAUUGGUAUAAAGCCAGGUAAGUCCCACUAGUUGUUAAAACCACCUAAUUAUAACUCACUCCCAAAAGACUAGCCUAUGAGAUGAGAGCAAUUUCUUGAUUCAUAAAAGGUGAUUCAUUUUAAAGUUUCUUUGUACUGCGACAAGCCUAAUUGAUCAUUGUAGUAUGUGGAGUUCUGGUACUACAAAUAUGAAGAGAAAAAGGGAAAUAUACUUAAAUUUCAGUCAAAAUGCAAAGAGCCCUGUUCAAAACAUCAAAAGGUAAAUUUAAACAAGUAUUUAUUUGUAGGAGAAUUAUCAACUAAUUAUUUCUGCAGUGACUCAACCUGAUGUGUGAAGUUUAUCUCCAUGCUUGGUUUUGGCACUAGUCAUUUAUUUGUUUCUAUUUCUAGAGAUCAAGGCAUUCCCUUGUAAAAAUUGUGAUUGGAAGACAAUUGCACCCAUGUCAAAACUCUGAUUUUGGUUAUAAAUAUGUUUCAUUUUGGAUUAGAUUUGUAUUUACUUUGUCUUUUUGGAUCUUGUGAUAUAGGAAAACAGUCAUGUACUGUCUUACUCGGAAGUAUUAUUUGCCCCUUUGACCACUCCAGAUUUUAGCAUCUCUAGAGAGAUGAGUUUUUCCUUCUAUGACAGACUGUUCUUGUCUGAAAACCUCAAAGUGAUCGAUCUGAGAUUGAAGUCCGGCCAAUGGAAUUCUGAGUUAUUAAAAUGUCUUUUUAAUAGGAAGAUGCCUGACUUAUCAAAAUAUCCCUGUGGGGUCCUUGGAUAACAAGGAUAAAAUUAUCGGGCAUUUCACCCAAGAUGGAGAAUACUCUAUUCGAAGUGGGUACAAGGUGGCAAUAAACGAAUGGGAGAAAGUAUAAGGGUCUAAUACGAGAGACAGAAAAGUGGUGGCGGUUUGAGUGUCCCAAAAAAUUAAACACUUUAUUUGGAAGUUGUGGCUCUUUUUUGCAGGAAAGUUAGAGAAGAUCAUUUUUGUAGCAGAUGUGGCGGGCCAAAGGAAAAGGAAGAUUGGAGUCAUGCUAUUUGGACUUGUUGAAGAAUCAAGCAUCUGUGGAAAAUCAGUGGCCUCAAGACAAUAGUUCAUAAGGCUAAAAUGGAUGAUCCAAUCUCUUUUCUGUAAGACGUUGCAAGCUUAAACACAAAGGACAGAUUUGAAUUUUUCAUCAUUGUUGCGUGGCAAGCUUGGUACUCCAAGCACUGCGAUGUUAAUGAGCGGACUACUCCAAAUCUUGAUGCUCUCUUGGAGUGGACCGCAGCAUACGUACAAGACUUCCAAGGGCAGAAAACUGAGAAGAAAACAAGGAGAGAUAACACUGUCACUAAAUGGAUUCUGCCUGAGAUUGGGACUGUUCUGAUUUAUGUCGAUGCAGGUGUAAAUCGAGAUGAAGGGACCUGAAGUAAUGGUACUGUCAUAAUGUUCGUGUUUUGGCUUCUGAGGGCAUAUUCUUCAACAAUUAUUAUUGCCCCUUAGUUGCUGAAAUUUUGGCUAUCAGGAAUGGUAUCAAACUUGCAAGUAAGUGUGGCUCUUUCAAUUUUAUCAUCUCUUCGGAUUGUCAAAGUCCAGUUUAUAUGCUGAAUAAGAAGAUUGAUGCGUCUGGUGUUGUGGAGAUCAUCGUUGAGGAAACGUGGAACGAGUCUCAGUUAAUUGGAGGAGUGCAAUUUGUCUUCAAUCUGAGAACCUCAAAUUUUGCUCACCUAGUAGCUAAGAAUGCUUUGACUUGUAAAGCAUUUGGUUUUUGGAAUGAGGGUGUCCCCUCUGCGGCUUCUGCUGUUGCAGAGGAUUUGCCUAUUCCUUAAAUGUGUUUGUUGAAUGUAUUUCUCCUUAAAAAAAAAAAAUCAAGACUCUUGGCAUCUUCUUGUGAA